GAUGAACGCUAGCGGGAGGCCUAACACAUGCAAGCCGAGCGGUAUUUGUUCUUCGGAACAGAGAGAGCGGCGCACGGGUGCGGAACACGUGUGCAACCUGCCUUUAUCUGGGGGAUAGCCUUUCGAAAGGAAGAUUAAUACCCCAUAAUAUAUUGAGUGGCAUCACUUGAUAUUGAAAACUCCGGUGGAUAGAGAUGGGCACGCGCAAGAUUAGAUAGUUGGUGAGGUAACGGCUCACCAAGUCAAUGAUCUUUAGGGGGCCUGAGAGGGUGAUCCCCCACACUGGUACUGAGACACGGACCAGACUCCUACGGGAGGCAGCAGUGAGGAAUAUUGGACAAUGGGUUAGCGCCUGAUCCAGCCAUCCCGCGUGAAGGACGACGGCCCUAUGGGUUGUAAACUUCUUUUGUAUAGGGAUAAACCUACUCUCGUGAGAGUAGCUGAAGGUACUAUACGAAUAAGCACCGGCUAACGCCGUG
Molecule: ribosomal RNA, 479 nt
Filed under: uncultured bacterium
Lineage: Bacteria
Description: partial 16S ribosomal RNA
Rfam family: Bacterial small subunit ribosomal RNA
Source: RNAcentral